UUGCACGCUGGCGGCAUGCUUUACACCUGCAAGUCGAACGGUAACAGGCCUUCGGGUGCUGACGAGUGGCGAACGGGUGAGUAAUGCAUCGGAACGUGCCCAGAGGUGGGGGAUAACGCAGCGAAAGCUGUGCUAAUACCGCAUGUGAUCUGAGGAUGAAAGCGGGGGACCAGGCAGCAAUGUUUGGCCUCGCGCCUUUGGAGCGGCCGAUGUCAGAUUAGGUAGUUGGUGGGGUAAAGGCCUACCAAGCCGACGAUCUGUAGCUGGUCUGAGAGGACGACCAGCCACACUGGGACUGAGACACGGCCCAGACUCCUACGGGAGGCAGCAGUGGGGAAUUUUGGACAAUGGGCGCAAGCCUGAUCCAGCAAUGCCGCGUGCGGGAAGAAGGCCUUCGGGUUGUAAACCGCUUUUGUACGGAACGAAAAGGCUCUGGCUAAUACCUGGGGCUGAUGACGGUACCGUAAGAAUAAGCACCGGCUAACUACGUG
RNAcentral lists this ribosomal RNA (491 nucleotides) under uncultured bacterium. Its description in RNAcentral is "partial 16S ribosomal RNA". It matches the Rfam family "Bacterial small subunit ribosomal RNA", at positions 30 to 507 of the family's 1533-position model. The record is from RNAcentral.